This 176-nucleotide small RNA is filed under the name Rhinocladiella mackenziei CBS 650.93. Its description in RNAcentral is "A. fumigatus sRNA Afu_182". It matches the Rfam family "A. fumigatus sRNA Afu_182". The record is from Rfam by way of RNAcentral. Lineage: Eukaryota; Fungi; Ascomycota; Eurotiomycetes; Chaetothyriales; Herpotrichiellaceae.
CAUCGAACAACGCAAAAAAAGCCAACGUUCCUGCAAAAAGCGUUCCUACGAGGUUACUCUACGGUGAUCCAUGAUGUACGGAAAACCGUCUACUGGAAUGGAGAUCAAUCAAUCUGGCCGAUCUUGGGUGCAGUGUCAGUCUUAUGUGACUGGGAUUGCAAUGAUUGACCACACAG